UCACAGCAAUCCUCCUGCCUCAGCCUCCCAAGUGCUAGGAUUACAGGUGUGAGCCACCACACCCGGCUUGGCUGCUUCUUGCACUGUGCCAUAUCCUCUGACCCCUCAUUAGACCUCAUCUCCCCUGUUUACACCCUGGCUAAUUUCCCCAGCCCAAAGCCCUUUAUUUAUUCAUUUCUGCAAAGUCACUUUUGCUACCAAAAUAACAUUCACAGGUUCAGAGGACUGGAAUGUGAGCGUUCUGGGAGAAAGGGGAUUCCGCCCGCCCUGUCAUUCCUCCAACCCCCAAGCUAUGCAUCUGUGCAGAGAAUGUUCAUCUCGCCCAAGGGCCCCCACGCUGCAUUGCAGCGCAGCUUCAACUCAGUCCAAAAACCUCAUCUAACUCUCAUCACCUCCAUCUGGCAUGGGGGAGCUCCAGGUACCAUCCAUCCUGAGUGCAUUCCUCCUGUUCACCUGUGGACCUAGAGAACUCAUGAAGCAAGUUACCUCCUCCCAGAACAAUGGGCAGCAACCUGGAGGGUGCAGUCUAGUUCUCUUCUGAUCCAAGGGAGCCGGGCAAGACAUGGGCAAGAAAGAUUGGCAGCUGAGAUCUGCAGCUCCCUGGGCUGGACCCCUGGAAGGAGGGCUCAGAGCUGCUGCCCUCAGCACUUGUGGAGGCUUCCCAUGUGGGGACCCUGGAGGCCUGAGGACUAGGAGUAUGGGGCUCCCCACCCCCAAGGCCUUCGGAGCGGGGGGAAAGCGGAGGGUGAAGAACCUGAUGUGGAGAAAUCGGGCUCGUCUACGUCCCGGGCAUCCUGGACCUUCUGUGCUGGGCUGCUGUCAAGGGUGUUGAGAGCCGCGGAGUGUUUCUCCUCUGAGAUGCCCCGCUGCC
Long non-coding RNA from Chinchilla lanigera (long-tailed chinchilla), 871 nucleotides. RefSeq lists it as uncharacterized. The record is from RefSeq and is a predicted model, not a curated record. The transcript is spliced from 3 exons. NCBI's taxonomy places the organism in Eukaryota, Metazoa, Chordata, Mammalia, Rodentia, Chinchillidae.